RNAcentral lists this transfer RNA (77 nucleotides) under Sulfurimonas sp. RIFOXYB12_FULL_35_9. RNAcentral describes it as "tRNA-Met". It matches the Rfam family "tRNA". From Rfam's summary of the family: Transfer RNA (tRNA) molecules are approximately 80 nucleotides in length. The record is from RNAcentral. Lineage: Bacteria; Pseudomonadati; Campylobacterota; Epsilonproteobacteria; Campylobacterales; Sulfurimonadaceae. RNAcentral also lists the same sequence under 4 other names.
GGGUUCUUAGCUCAGUUGGUUAGAGCCCCCCGCUCAUAACGGGGUGGUCGAGUGUUCGAGUCACUCAGAACCCACCA